CUCAUUUUGCGCAGCCGCCCGCUCACUCCUCUCGUCUCUGCUCUUUACUUUCCCUAGCACACUGAGAAAAACAGCUCAAAUAGCUUCUUUGAUCAUGAUUUUGAGCGAUUUGAAGGCCGAUUCAGAAGAAGUAUUAGUUGAAGAAAAGAUAGAUCAAGGCAUGAUUUCAUCACUUUGUGGAGCCAUUUGGAGCUUAUGGAGUAGGAUUUGCCGUGUGAAGUGAACUACGAAGUUGAAGAUCAAGGUAAAAAAUAUCAUCUGAGUAGCAAACAAUGAGGAGAUGGUGUGAUUGAAGAAAUUGUGUUUCGAUCUUUGAUGUCCCUUUUGAGGUUGAGUCCAUUGAUAUAUUACUGGUGAUAUGUUCAUGCUGACGGAUUUUUUUUGAACUAUUGUGGCGCUUAAUUUUAUUCAGAACAACAUCCAAAUUGAAGCUGAGGACAUACCCGAUCGUACAUGUGACGAUGAGGACACCCAACAUGGCCUGAACACACACAUACGGGGAGCAUCACAUGAUCAUGGCGACAUGGUUAUAGCAUUAGUUACAGAUUUCUUUGGAGGGGACGUUAUUGGCCCAUCUUUUAUCCCUGAGGAGUCACAACCAUACGUCUACAAUUACGCAUCAGGAUCGCAACAAGGAUUCCAUUCUCCAUCACCUACGCAGGAGUCGUAGACACAUGAAGCCGAAGGGGAGUACGGCCGCGGUCUUCGUGUAACUCGACCACCUAAUCGCUUGACGCUUUCCGGUCCUUGGGAAAGGCUAGGUGGCCGUCGUCGACUAGGAUGAUUCAUUUAUCUACGUGUGCGACCUAUUGUAUCUACCUAUAUCAGUUUUAGACUUACCGAUGUAUGUAAUAAACAUCUAUGUAUGAGGACCUGCCGCUACUGGACCAGGCGACAACAAUGUUUCUCACGUAUACCUCCCGCCAUAGUUUCUCGCUUCUAAGUUCUCGCAUUUAUCUUGCACCGUCGUUUCCCGCCUAUAUCUCCUGCCAUAGUUUCCCGCCUAUAUCUCCUGCCAUAGUUUCCCGCCUAUAUCUCCCGCCAUAUUUUCCUGCUUUCUUAGUUCCCGCUAUCUAGUUCCUGCCAUAUUUUCCCGCCUCCGAGUUGCCGCCUCUGUUUGUGUUCUCAACCUAUAAAACACCCUCGACACUAACUUGGGUAAACAUUCUAGUGUAAUCUCGUAGUCUUGCCAAGAUGUCCGGAUAUCCUUUUGAUCGUAGUUUCACCCUCGUAUGUCUCAGUGCCUUCUGGAUUUAGCUGCCGAUUUCAGGGUAGACAACAUAUUAGUUCCAUGGGACAAAUUCAUCAAUACUGACACCCUACUGAAUGAACUGGCUCACACAUUAAGUAGGUGCGAGUGGCCUUCCAGGACCUUUGAGGAGAUACAGAAAGAACUUCUCAGGUUGCAUGGAAAAUGGAUGAAGCAACAGAGUAAGGGUGAAUCAUACCUAAAGUUUGCAGCAGAAAAUACUUUUUUAUGGACUAUGGACAGCGAGGAUGAAGACGAUAUCUUCACGCCGAGUACCAAGGCCAAGAGUUCUGCAUCGUCGAAGGGCAAGAGUUCUGCAUCGUCGAAGAGCAAGAGUUCUGCAUCGACAGAGGAUGACGAUGAUGCCUUCAUGUAGUUUUUAAGCUGUAUUUUUAGUUUUUAAGUUCAUUUCUACUGUUUAAUUCAGAUAUACUUGCAUUAUUAGUUUGUACUGCCUUAUUGUACGGUCAUUAUGUUUGAUC
Non-coding RNA from Triticum urartu, 1731 nucleotides. Lineage: Eukaryota; Viridiplantae; Streptophyta; Magnoliopsida; Poales; Poaceae. The record is from RefSeq and is a predicted model, not a curated record.